RNAcentral lists this ribosomal RNA (536 nucleotides) under uncultured bacterium. RNAcentral describes it as "bacterial SSU rRNA". It matches the Rfam family "Bacterial small subunit ribosomal RNA", at positions 389 to 923 of the family's 1533-position model. The record is from RNAcentral.
AACCGACGCCGCGUGAAGGAUGAAGUUCGUUCGAAUGUAAACUUCUUUUGUAGGGGAUGAAUGUUCCGUUUUACGGAAUUGACCGUACCCUGCGAAUAAGGAUCGGCUAACUACGUGCCAGCAGCCGCGGUAAUACGUAGGAUCCGAGCGUUGUCCGGAAUUACUGGGUGUAAAGGGCGUGUAGGUGGGUCUCUAAGUCGGUGGUGAAAUCUUGCAGCUUAACUGUAAAAUUGCCAUUGAUACUGGAGGUCUUGAGUACGGCAGAGGGAAAUAGAAUUCAUGGUGUAGCGGUGAAAUGUGUAGAUAUCAUGAAGAAUACCGGUAGCGAAGGCGGUUUCCUGGACCGUAACUGACACUGAGGCGCGAAAGCGUUGGGAGCAAACAGGAUUAGAUACCCUGGUAGUUCCACGCCUUAAACGAUGAAUACUAGGUGCUGGGCCCGCAAGGUUCAGUGCCCAAGCUAAACGCAUUAAGUAUUCCACCUUGGGGAGUACGAUCGCCAAGGUUGAAACUCAAAGGAAUUGGACGGGGGCCCC